CAGUCGCCACGGGAAUACGUAGGGUGCGAGCGUUAAUCGGAACUACUGGGCAUAAAGCGUGCGCAGGCGGUUCGUUAAGACAGAUGUGAAAUCCCCGGGCUUAACCUGGGAACUGCAUUUGUGACUGGCGAGCUGGAGUAUGGCAGAGGGGGGUAGAAUUCCACGUGUAGCAGUGAAAUGCGUAGAGAUGUGGAGGAAUACCGAUGGCGAAGGCAGCCCCCUGGGCCAAUACUGACGCUCAUGCACGAAAGCGUGGGGAGCAAACAGGAUUAGAUACCCCCGUAGUCCCUGUCUCUUAUAC
Molecule: ribosomal RNA, 301 nt
Filed under: uncultured bacterium
Lineage: Bacteria
Description: partial 16S ribosomal RNA
Rfam family: Bacterial small subunit ribosomal RNA
Source: RNAcentral